AAGACAAGUAAGAGGGAGGUAGGUAUAUACCUCACCGCAUGAACUAUGACAUUUUAUGGCCUUAUAUCUGAAUGACCUCACACUUAUUCAUUGUCCAAUUGGUUUCGGUGAACAUCUUUGUCAUUGAAGCCUCACAAUUUCAAAUGUAAAGCACUAUCUCAGUAUCUAAAGAGAUAUAUUUUCUCAGCCUCACUUAACAAAGCUACUAUUUUGGUAGAAUUUGACAGUGCACAAAGCAAGCCAAAAAAUUAUUUGACUUGUAUAUAUGUGCACAUAUUUAUGUACAUAUGAUCACACAAAAGCCAUUAUUUCAAAGUCAUUUAUAAGCUGCUAAAUAAUGCCAAAAAAUAAUUUAUAUAGUGUCACUAUUCAAAAUAAUUUUAGUUCACAGGAUCAAUUGGAUUAUAGUAUAGAAAGAGCACCUGUGUUUGGAUAAUUUCCUAUAGUGUACUGUAUAGUUAGCUGUCUGAUUUUUAUUGGAUGCUACAUCCAGGACUUUCCUCUUUAUAAAAUUGUAAAAUCUGUUGUGCUAAUCCUUUUCAGUGUGAAGUAUUCAAAGUAUCUUUGUUUCACGCAGUAGUUCUAUUGGACUUGUUCAAGUUGCCACUGGAGCAGUUUGUUUUCAGGUGCAAGUCAAUUUAUUUUCUAACUACUUUUACAUGCACCUAGAUAGUGUGAUCAUUUGAGCUUUAGUCAGUUACCUAAUUCUGAUUCAUAAAAAAAAGAAAACUGUUGUCUUCAGUUUAAGUCAUCAAGUGCUCAUGUGCAUGACACACCUAAGCCAGGGAAGGUGGUAUCACUGUGGCAGUUAUCUAGCAAAAAUCCAAGAUUACUGCAUCUAAAGUCUAGUCCAGUGUGUGGUGAACAAAUCUGUGGAUUUUAAUAUUAAAUGAAGUGGUUUAGUGUUUUAAAUUGAACAAGUGCAUUUCUAACAUUAAGAAGGUUUUUAGAUGGAAAUAUGCAAGCAGUAAAACAUGCUCCCCUAUAAUAGAGCACAUCUCCUCACAUUACAUUUAGUUCAGUUGCACCUGUAAGAAAUAUUUUCUUGUAGAAAGUAAUUUCUUAUAGAACGUACAUGCACUUAAAAUAUGGCAAAGUUGAUUGAAACUGCAGAAAGGAGACUUUUUACUCCGUCAAUAUUCCAGUGCAUCUAAAUAAGUCAUCCGAUCUCAUGCCCUUACCUGACUUCCAGCUUUCUCUCAUGUGCAUGUAAAUGUGGUAAAACUGAGAAUUCAUUGCUCCUGGCUAUGAUGUGACUUUAGUAGGGACAUUGGAAGUUGUAGAAGUAUAUUCUCGGAGAUGGAAACAGUGUUCACUAUCACAGUUAAAUGUUUGCACAAGGAAUUCUGAUACCGACUGAACAUUUGCCUGAUGUUAUUUAUCAGAUAACUCUGAGGAUCUGGCUUAAAUAGUUAGGCCUGGUAGUAAAAUAAAUAUUGUGAUAUUUUGUAAAGUAUUAGGUUUAAAAAACAAAAAAUUGAAUAAACACAAUAAAUACAUUUCUGUGAAUGCUUGAAAGCAUGUUGGAGAUGAAAUUUCCUGUAUGGCUUUUUAUAGGAGGCUGGACUGCUAAUCUAUAGAUGUACAAUACGCAUACGUGCAGCUGGUCUCUAAGGAUUGUGGAAAGAUUUGGCUGUGCCUUGCAGCACACUGCUCUCAGGAUGCUUUCACUUUUCUAAUUUUAAGUCUUUCCUGCCAAAACCAGCGGUUACUGGCAAAAGUGUACUCUGAUCUAGUAAUUAUAUAUAGAUAUAUUUGUGAAAUUCCUACAUGUAACAUGUAGUACCUUAAAGUUAGUUAUUUAUGGUUGAGACAUGAAGAUGGCAUUGCAAAACUUUGUACUUUUUGUGAAUAUCCUCUUUAUGCACCUUGAGCGUUCGAACAGCGAGCUAACAGUUUGAAUUCAUGUGGUGCAACUUCAGAAGUUCCAUAAGCGUGUCUGUGUAGCCAAAGACAAAUGUGACAAUAUUAAAAAGUACUCAAAAAAGUUGUUUUCUUGAUUUGCUCAUGGUAAUGCUGAUUGGAAAGUGUUGAACCAGGCCUUUAAAAUUUCUGCCCUUAUCAAGCCUAAAAAUGAUGACGUUGGGUACUAAGUUUGGUAUCUAACAUCUGAUACCAGGCAGUCAGGCCUGAUAUUAUUCUGCUUCAAACACUACACUUGCAGAAGUUGUACCAUGUAAAGCCAGCCCAUAUAGCAGAACCAUGCUCCUAGCGCAUUUAAAGGGAAAUGCCACUUAUUUUCAGGGUUCAGGAAUGGUAACCCUUAGGCCUGCUAUUAAAGUGCACAGUGGUUAAAGGCUCAUUUGUAAAAGAUUCCAUUGAGUUUCAACAAACAACAAAAAUGCAUUUGGUGUCAGUUUAUAGUUCGUGCUAAUAAAUUAUUAAAAACGCUAUAAAUUAAUGUUUAGCUCGCAUUUUAGGAAACGAAGCUGCACCAGACUAUCACAAAGCUGUCUAUUUGUCAUUUAUUCUAUGAACGUGUUCAUGAAUUUUUAAACUGAGUGGUAUUACUCUUUAACAAGGCUAAUUAUGUGAGCCUGACCUUGUCUCCUUGGUGGUGCUUUUAAAGAUGCAUAUAAAUAUUUCUUUGUAAUGUUUAGGUAGAACCGUAAUAUGUAGACAUAAAGAAAAAAAACAGUUGAAUGUGUUUUGCCCAAAAUGAUUUUUGGGCUUUGCUGACUUUGUUUUUCAUGAAAAAAGACAAGGCCACGUUAGGCUAGCUGUCUGUUCAUGAGAAGGUGAAACAAACUGCCUAAAUGUUUCUUCAUGUGAAACAAUCAGAUUGCAAGGCUGCUGUCAAGGUUGUUUCUGGCAUUUGGCUAAAAGUUUGCGUGCCAUCCUUUCCCUUUGAAAUAAUUGAAUUGUUCUACUUUGGAAAACUUUGUAAAAACACUGAAGCGCUGUAUGCUACAAGAAACGACUCUAAAUAAAAAAAACAAACAAAACAACAACAAAAAAAAUUGGCUUUGUUGCCAAUUGUAGCACCAAAUUAAGAUCAGUAGUUUGCCUUUUUCACUUAGAAAUAUUUAACCUUAUUGAGGUCCAUAUUCAACAUGAACACUGGAAUAGUCCAUUGACCAUGAGCUAAAUUGUGCGUGUACUUCACUUAGUAACUGUAAUGUAGGAUGUAGGUCACAGCAUAAAUCCACCAAAAAGCAAAUGGUCUGGGUUUUUUGUUUUAAUGUUUUGUGUUAAAUUUGGAAACUUGGUUGGCAAUGGACCACUUCCAGGAUAAAAAAAUAAAAACCUCAUUAUUUCUGAUAAAUACUUUCAAUGUACCAAUCUUUCUUCUUUUGUUGUUGUUGUUGCUUUGGAUAAAUGUUAUAGACCAUAAUGGUGGUUUUUAGUCCUCUCCCUUCCUUUCUAAGUGCCGCAAACAGCUAAGUCACAAAUGUCUAGAAUUGACUUUUGCUUGUUGAUACAAAUUGUAUCUAUACCUUGAAUGUAACAAAAUAUGAAAUGUAUAAUAUGAAAAUAGUUUUGUUUAAAUAAAGGGGGUAAAAAAACAAUGCCAUAAUGUUUGUGACACUGUGUGUCACUGGGAGUAGCCCACUGGUAUGUACUUAUUCUUACUGGGUACAGUAGUUAAAUUACAGGGACAUUUAUGUGCUACAUAAACGUGCACAGAUACCCUGUGUACAGCAGUAAGCAUCGUGUCCUCUUUGUACAUAG
Long non-coding RNA from Oreochromis aureus, 3672 nucleotides. The record is from Ensembl. Lineage: Eukaryota; Metazoa; Chordata; Actinopteri; Cichliformes; Cichlidae.